This is a long non-coding RNA of Zonotrichia leucophrys gambelii, 357 nucleotides long. RefSeq lists it as uncharacterized. Lineage: Eukaryota; Metazoa; Chordata; Aves; Passeriformes; Passerellidae. The transcript is spliced from 3 exons. The record is from RefSeq and is a predicted model, not a curated record.
UGCACAUGGAGCACGUACUGAGUGUGUCAACAUUUUUUUCAAAAAUUCUGUCCUGAAGGCUUUUCAUGCCUCUCUGUUUGUUGGCCUUGCUCUGAAGGUUAAAACCUGUCAGCAGCAGCAGCAGCCAAAAUCUGUGUUGGACCAUCUCUGAGCACUGCAGAGCACACCCCACCUCCUGCCCACCCUUCAGGGGUGCACAGACCCCUCCUCAGCUGGUUCUGGCCUCUGAGGGAUUUAAUCAGAAUAUCAGUUGACUUUUACAGCCUCUUCAGUGCUCCCCAAGGCUUCAUAUCACACCUAAAUGCUCAUUUUCACCACCUGAAGAUAUUUUCUGACCUGAAUGGUUCUAUGAACCUG